CAUGCAGUCGAGCGGAUGAGGGAGCUUGCUCCUGGAUUCAGCGGCGGACGGGUGAGUAAUGCCUAGGAAUCUGCCUGGUAGUGGGGGAUAACGUUCCGAAAGGAACGCUAAUACCGCAUACGUCCUACGGGAGAAAGCAGGGGACCUUCGGGCCUUGCGCUAUCAGAUGAGCCUAGGUCGGAUUAGCUAGUUGGUGAGGUAAUGGCUCACCAAGGCGACGAUCCGUAACUGGUCUGAGAGGAUGAUCAGUCACACUGGAACUGAGACACGGUCCAGACUCCUACGGGAGGCAGCAGUGGGGAAUAUUGGACAAUGGGCGAAAGCCUGAUCCAGCCAUGCCGCGUGUGUGAAGAAGGUCUUCGGAUUGUAAAGCACUUUAAGUUGGGAGGAAGGGCUGUAGGCUAAUAUCCUGCGGUUUUGACGUUACCAACAGAAUAAGCACCGGCUAACUUCGUGCCAGCAGCCGCGGUAAUACGUAGGGUGCGAGCGUUAAUCGGAAUUACUGGGCGUAAAGC
Molecule: ribosomal RNA, 515 nt
Filed under: uncultured bacterium
Lineage: Bacteria
Description: bacterial SSU rRNA
Rfam family: Bacterial small subunit ribosomal RNA
Source: RNAcentral